UACGUAGGGUCCGAGCGUUGUCCGGAAUUACUGGGCGUAAAGGGCUCGUAGGCGGCCAACUAAGUCAGACGUGAAAUCCCUCGGCUUAACCGGGGAACUGCGUCUGAUACUGGAUGGCUUGAGGUUGGGAGAGGGAUGCGGAAUUCCAGGUGUAGCGGUGAAAUGCGUAGAUAUCUGGAGGAACACCGGUGGCGAAGGCGGCAUCCUGGACCAAUUCUGACGCUGAGGAGCGAAAGCCAGGGGAGCAAACGGG
This 253-nucleotide ribosomal RNA is filed under the name uncultured bacterium. Its description in RNAcentral is "partial 16S ribosomal RNA". It matches the Rfam family "Bacterial small subunit ribosomal RNA", at positions 524 to 776 of the family's 1533-position model. The record is from RNAcentral.